CAUGGUUGUCGUCAGCUCGUGUCGUGAGAUGUUGGGUUAAGUCCCGCAACGAGCGCAACCCUUGAUCUUAGUUGCCAGCACUUCGGGUGGGCACUCUAAGGUGACUGCCGGUGACAAACCGGAGGAAGGGGGGGAUGACGUCAAAUCAUCAUGCCCCUUAUGACCUGGGCUACACACGUACUACAAUGGCCGGUACAACGGGCUGCGAAGCCGCGAGGCGGAGCCAAUCCUAGAAAGCCGGUCUCAGUUCGGAUUGCAGGCUGCAACUCGCCUGCAUGAAGUCGGAAUUGCUAGUAAUCGCGGAUCA
RNAcentral lists this ribosomal RNA (307 nucleotides) under Paenibacillus sp. Expt2_P5WS_G08. RNAcentral's name for it is "bacterial SSU rRNA". It matches the Rfam family "Bacterial small subunit ribosomal RNA", at positions 1044 to 1351 of the family's 1533-position model. The record is from RNAcentral. Lineage: Bacteria; Bacillati; Bacillota; Bacilli; Caryophanales; Paenibacillaceae.